This 421-nucleotide ribosomal RNA is filed under the name Fusobacteriota bacterium. Its description in RNAcentral is "Fusobacteria bacterium partial 16S ribosomal RNA". It matches the Rfam family "Bacterial small subunit ribosomal RNA", at positions 355 to 776 of the family's 1533-position model. The record is from RNAcentral. Lineage: Bacteria; Fusobacteriati; Fusobacteriota.
UGGGGAAUAUUGCACAAUGGACGGAAGUUUGAUGCAGCGACGCCGCGUGGAGGGUGUAGGCCUUCGGGUUGUGAACUCCUUUUUUUCGCGAAAAAGGCACAGCUUUGGCUGUGUUGAUGGUAGUGGGGGAAGAAGCGCCGGCUAACUACGUGCCAGCAGCCGCGGUAAUACGUAGGGCGCGAGCGUUGUCCGGAUUUAUUGGGCGUAAAGAGCUCGUAGGUGGUUCGUCGCGUCUGUCGUGAAAGCCAGCAGCUUAACUGUUGGUCUGCGGUGGGGACGGGCGGGGUUGAGUGCGGUAGGGGUGACUAGAAUUCCUGGUGUAGCGGUGGAAUGCGCAGAUAGCAGGAGGAACACCGAUGGCGAAGGCAGGUCACUGGGCCGUUACUGACACUGAGGAGCAAAAGCGUGGGGAGCGAACAGG